RNAcentral lists this long non-coding RNA (625 nucleotides) under Pan troglodytes (chimpanzee). RNAcentral's name for it is "lincRNA". Lineage: Eukaryota; Metazoa; Chordata; Mammalia; Primates; Hominidae. The record is from RNAcentral.
UGUUCUUGCUGGUGUGGUAUGUUCACGGCUGAAAAGGUGGUCAGAAGGAGAAAGGAGGAAGUGAGAAGAAAGAAACAGGGAAAUGAGUGUUGCUCAGUUACCCAGGCUGGAGUGCAAUGGCAUGAUCUUGGCUCACUGCAGCCUCCACCUCCUGGGUUCAAGCGGUUCUCGUGCCUCAGUCUCCCAAGUAGCUGGGAUUACAGGCUGGAGUGCGAUGGCAUGAUCUUGGCUCACGGCAAACUCCGCCUCCCUGGUUCAAGUGAUUCUCCUGCCUCAGCCUCCCGAGUAGCUGGGAUUACAGGCAUGUGCCACCAUGCCCCGUUGGCCAGGCUGGUCUCGAACACCUUACCUCAGGUGAUCCUCCCACCUUUGGGAUUACAGACCCUGCAUGUGAUGGAUCAGCUGACACCAUCCAGAUUGGUAAACUGGUUCGUCUGAUCUUGUGCCCUCCACCCAGGAACUGACUCAGCGCAAGAAGACAGCUUCGACUCCUUAUGAUUUCAUCCCUAACCAAUCAGCACUCCUGGCUCACUGGCUUCCCCCAACCCACCAAAUUGUCCUUAAAAACUCUGUUCUCCAAAUGCUGGGGGAGACUGAUUUGAGUAAUAAUAAAACUCUGGUCUCC